UCGCCACCCAGGCCGGGGACUCCGGCGGCCCAGAGAGAGCUCCUCCCUCCAUCAAGCCCAGCAGGCCACAGCGAGGGCCCGGCCCACAGAGCCCGCGCCCACCGGAACCCGCGCCGGCCCGUGAGCCCCACGCGCAGCCUGGCCUCCCGCCCGCGCCUCUCCCUCCACACCUCCCCGCCAGCAGAGGGAGCCGGCGCUGGCCCUGGCCAGCCCCAGAGAGGGGCCCUCGCAGCGCAGCUGCGGGUUGAAGGGCUCCUGGAGCGCGGCUAGAGCAGACGCCGAGGCGGAGGAGGUGCCGAGAGUGAGCGAGGGCUGCUAGCACGUUGUCACCUCUCGGUCACCCGUCUGGUCAGGAACUGGAUUGGGAUGAGCUCCCCGGACAAGCGGCUGGAUGAUGUCUUGUACUUGUUGGAGAGACUGCAGGUAGAAACACUGGGAAGACAAAGCUUGGCUGAGACCCGACACCCGAAUUCCUGAAGGAGGACCAGCAAAAGUGGAGUAUUCCAGGCGGACUGACAUGGUCUUCAGCCGGUCCCUCCUUUUGGGGUCCCUGACUUCCUGCAACAGAAGGCAAAGAGCCUGAGGAGAGGAAGAGCCUGCGGCAUUCCACUCCUUCCAGUU
Molecule: non-coding RNA, 621 nt
Organism: Chlorocebus sabaeus (green monkey)
Lineage: Eukaryota; Metazoa; Chordata; Mammalia; Primates; Cercopithecidae
Source: RefSeq, a predicted model, not a curated record